Molecule: ribosomal RNA, 492 nt
Filed under: uncultured bacterium
Lineage: Bacteria
Description: partial 16S ribosomal RNA
Rfam family: Bacterial small subunit ribosomal RNA
Source: RNAcentral
AGUGAACGCUGGCGGUAGGCCUAACACAUGCAAGUCGAACGGCAGCACAGUAAGAGCUUGCUCUUACGGGUGGCGAGUGGCGGACGGGUGAGGAAUACAUCGGAAUCUACUUUUUCGUGGGGGAUAACGUAGGGAAACUUACGCUAAUACCGCAUACGACCUACGGGUGAAAGCAGGGGAUCUUCGGACCUUGCGCGGUUGAAUGAGCCGAUGUCGGAUUAGCUAGUUGGCGGGGUAAAGGCCCACCAAGGCGACGAUCCGUAGCUGGUCUGAGAGGAUGAUCAGCCACACUGGAACUGAGACACGGUCCAGACUCCUACGGGAGGCAGCAGUGGGGAAUAUUGGACAGUGGGCGCAAGCCUGAUCCAGCCAUACCGCGUGGGUGAAGAAGGCCUUCGGGUUGUAAAGCCCUUUUGUUGGGAAAGAAAAGCAGCAGGUUAAUACCCCGCUGUUCUGACGGUACCCAAAGAAUAAGCACCGGCUAACUUCGUG